GUGAGAUGGUGUGGGAGUGUGAUGUGUGUGAGUGUUGGUGUGAUUUUGUUGAGUUGUAUGUGAGCAAGUGUAUGUGUCAGCAUGUGAACGAAUGUGUGAGAGUGUGUCGUAUGUGUGGUCAUGUGCAUGACUGUAUGUGAACAGUGUGCAUACUAGUGUGUGAGAAUACAAGUGUGUGAGUGUGGCUGUGCGUGCAUAUAUCUAAGUGUGUAUAUUUGUAAGUGUGUGAUGGUCCAUGUGUGUGAGAGCAUAUGUACUAGUGUGAAAGUGUGUUGGUGUUUGUGUGUGAUAGCAAUUGUGUGUGUGUGAAAGUUGUAUAGGUGGAUGUGAUUGUGUGUGAGUGUGGAUGUAUGAGCAUAUGUGAGUAUAUGUGUGUGAGCAAGUAUGCAUGAGUGUGAGCAUGUGUAUUAGUAUGUGAGUGUAUUAGUGUGUGAUUUUAUGUGUGUUAUGUGAGAAUGAGAAUAGUGUGAGUGUGAGAGUGUGUGAUUGUGUUAACAAGUUUGUGUGUGCGGAGUGUGUGCAUGAAGGUGAGUGUGUGCGUGUGCAUAUGUGUGAGUGUGUGUGAGUGCGUGUGAGUGCACGUAUGUGUGGUUGUGUGUUUGCAAGUUUGUGAGUGCAUACAUGCAUGUGUAUGUGUAAGUAUGUGUGUGUGUGAGAGUGCGUGUGUGUGUGUGUGUAAG
RNAcentral lists this long non-coding RNA (680 nucleotides) under Marmota monax (woodchuck). Lineage: Eukaryota; Metazoa; Chordata; Mammalia; Rodentia; Sciuridae. The record is from RNAcentral.